Molecule: non-coding RNA, 88 nt
Filed under: Pseudomonas sp. WPR_5_2
Lineage: Bacteria; Pseudomonadati; Pseudomonadota; Gammaproteobacteria; Pseudomonadales; Pseudomonadaceae
Source: RNAcentral
GUGGGAGCGAGCCUGCUCGCGAAGGCGUCAUGCCAGUCGGUAUCUAUGUCGACUGAAAGACCGCUUUCGCGAGCAGGCUCGCUCCCAC